This 301-nucleotide ribosomal RNA is filed under the name uncultured bacterium. RNAcentral describes it as "partial 16S ribosomal RNA". It matches the Rfam family "Bacterial small subunit ribosomal RNA", at positions 509 to 807 of the family's 1533-position model. The record is from RNAcentral.
CAGUAGCCGCGGGAAUGCGUAGGUGGCAAGCGUUGUCCGGAAUUAUUGGGCGUAAAGGGCUCGCAGGCGGUUUCUUAAGUCUGAUGUGAAAGCCCCCGGCUCAACCGGGGAGGGUCAUUGGAAACUGGGAAACUUGAGUGCAGAAGAGGAGAGUGGAAUUCCACGUGUAGCGGUGAAAUGCGUAGAGAUGUGGAGGAACACCUGUGGCGAAGGCGACUCUCUGGUCUGUAACUGACGCUGAGGCACGAAAGCGUGGGGAGCAAACAGGAUUAGAUACCCGCGUAGUCCCUGUCUCUUAUAC